Molecule: ribosomal RNA, 118 nt
Filed under: Nelumbo nucifera (sacred lotus)
Lineage: Eukaryota; Viridiplantae; Streptophyta; Magnoliopsida; Proteales; Nelumbonaceae
Source: RNAcentral
GGGUGUGAUCAUACUGGUAGUAAUGCACCGGAUCCAUCAGAACUCCGAAGUUAAGUGUGCUUGGGCGAAAGUAAUACUAGAAUGGGUGACCUCCUGGGAAAUCCUCAUAUUGCACCCC